CUGGGAUGUGACUUGCAGAUGGUUCUUGUCAAAGGAUCUUCUAAUCCUAGCUGUGUGGUGAUCUGGUGAGGUUGAUGUGUACCAGCUGAGCACAAGUCCCUGCCCCUGAAGUGCAGCUGGUAAAGUUCUCUAGCCUUUGAAAAUCUUCAUAAAUGGCUACAUAACAAGUGCAAGUUUCCCUCCUGUUCAGUGAAAAGUACCAAUCAGGCUGUGAUGACUGUGACAUCUCUUACCAAGAGAGAACAAAGAAACCAUUCAACUCUAAAUAAUCAUCAAAGUCUGGCUUGUCAGACUUAGGGUACGUGGCCUAUUAAGCUUUAUUGAGGGCACAUUGUGAAAGCAGUGGUGGUUAAAUAAGUGCACAGGCCCUUGCAUGAUUAGUUAUGCAUAUGGCACAGUGAUCUUGUUAAAAUCAGAUUUUAUUCAAAGAAAGCAGAACCAUCUCCACUAAAACUAAAGCAUGGCAUAAAAUCAAGCAG
This 479-nucleotide long non-coding RNA is filed under the name Struthio camelus australis. Its description in RNAcentral is "lncRNA (ENSSCUG00000002691.1)". The record is from RNAcentral. Lineage: Eukaryota; Metazoa; Chordata; Aves; Struthioniformes; Struthionidae.